Molecule: long non-coding RNA, 678 nt
Filed under: Mytilus galloprovincialis (Mediterranean mussel)
Lineage: Eukaryota; Metazoa; Mollusca; Bivalvia; Mytilida; Mytilidae
Source: RNAcentral
AAAUAAUGUUUCAUUGCGUCCUAUAUGUUUGCCGCGUAUGGUACUGUUGGAAUAAAUAUAAGGGUUUCAAUGAAAAAAAAAAAAAACAAAAAAAAACUGUGUUAACAUAGGUCUAAAAAAAAAAGCAAAAUUAGUAUACUUGUGUUCACAAGCCAUAAAUCGAUUGAGAGAAACAAAUCUGGAUUAAAAACUAUAACCGAGGGAUACACAUUAACCAUAAGAAGUGAACAAAGAAAAAACAGAAACACUAUAAAGGCAUGCAAUAAAAACAAACGCCAAUAUACAUAGAGACUGACUAUUUCAUAAUAACAUCUGCAAUUUAAGGACUAUUCUAAUAUCAUUAUUAUGAAAUGAAAUAAACAUGGUGAACAACUUGAUGAUCUAAGCAUCGUCUAGAUUUUAAAUAUAUUAUCCUCACUAGAGAAUUCAAAAAUUGCUGCUAACAAACAUCGUUUACAUCAAAAUACUUCUCAUUUUUCAAAAAAUACUGUAACACAAUGACUUAACUUUAUAGGCGGUAUUUAAAAUAUUAUUUAUGAUGUAAGUAUAACAUUAUUACAUAUUUUCCCUGUUAGCCAUAAAACCACACUGAUUGUCUGAUUGGUAGAUUGAUAGCCUCUGCUGUGAUAGGUGUCGUUGGUUUGAGCACCGACGGUCUAAAAACUUGAACAUUGGCCG